This 388-nucleotide ribosomal RNA is filed under the name uncultured bacterium. RNAcentral's name for it is "bacterial SSU rRNA". It matches the Rfam family "Bacterial small subunit ribosomal RNA", at positions 29 to 416 of the family's 1533-position model. The record is from RNAcentral.
AUUGAACGCUGGCGGCAGGCCUAACACAUGCAAGUCGAGCGGAUGAAAGGGGCUUGCUCCUGGAUUCAGCGGCGGACGGGUGAGUAAUGCGCAGGAAUCUACCUAGUAGUGGGGGAUAACGUUUCGAAAGGAACGCUAAUACCGCAUACGUUCUGAGGAAGAAAGCGGGGGACUCGCAAGAGCCUCGCGCUAUUGGAGCGGCCGAUGUCAGAUUAGGUAGUUGGUGGGGUAAAAGCCUACCAAGCCGACGAUCUGUAGCUGGUCUGAGAGGACGACCAGCCACACUGGGACUGAGACACGGCCCAGACUCCUACGGGAGGCAGCAGUGGGGAAUUUUGGACAAUGGGCGCAAGCCUGAUCCAGCCAUGCCGCGUGCGGGAAGAAGGCC